This 514-nucleotide ribosomal RNA is filed under the name uncultured bacterium. RNAcentral describes it as "bacterial SSU rRNA". It matches the Rfam family "Bacterial small subunit ribosomal RNA", at positions 15 to 518 of the family's 1533-position model. The record is from RNAcentral.
GAUUCUGGCUCAGGAUGAACGCUAGCUACAGGCUUAACACAUGCAAGUCGCGGGGCAUCAGGGAUAUAGCUUGCUAUAUUGCUGGCGACCGGCGCACGGGUGAGUAACGCGUAUCCAACCUUCCCUUUAGUAGGGGAUAGCCCGGCGAAAGUCGGAUUAAUACCCUAUGUUCUUCUUUGAUGGCAUCUGACGAGAAGCAAAGGUUCGCCGCUAUAGGAUGGGGAUGCGUCUGAUUAGCUUGAUGGCGGGGUAACGGCCCACCAUGGCGACGAUCAGUAGGGGUUCUGAGAGAAAGGUCCCCCACAUUGGUACUGAGACACGGACCAAACUCCUACGGGAGGCAGCAGUGAGGAAUAUUGGUCAAUGGGCGAGAGCCUGAACCAGCCAAGUAGCGUUGCAGGAUGACUGCCCUAUGGGUUGUAAACUGCUUUUAUAGGGGAAUAAAGUGCGGUACGCGUACCGUUUUGUAUGUACCCUAUGAAUAAGGACCGGCUAAUUCCGUGCCAGCAGCGGC